RNAcentral lists this ribosomal RNA (801 nucleotides) under uncultured bacterium. Its description in RNAcentral is "bacterial SSU rRNA". It matches the Rfam family "Bacterial small subunit ribosomal RNA", at positions 79 to 866 of the family's 1533-position model. The record is from RNAcentral.
UUGCUCCUCUGAUUCAGCGGCGGACGGGUGAGUAACACGUGGGCAACCUGCCUGUAAGACUGGGAUAACUUCGGGAAACCGGAGCUAAUACCGGAUAACUCAUAAGACCACAUGGUCUUAUGAUAAAAGAUGGUUUCGGCUAUCACUUACAGAUGGGCCCGCGGCGCAUUAGCUAGUUGGUGAGGUAACGGCUCACCAAGGCGACGAUGCGUAGCCGACCUGAGAGGGUGAUCGGCCACACUGGGACUGAGACACGGCCCAGACUCCUACGGGAGGCAGCAGUAGGGAAUCUUCCGCAAUGGACGAAAGUCUGACGGAGCAACGCCGCGUGAGCGAUGAAGGCCUUCGGGUCGUAAAGCUCUGUUGUUAGGGAAGAACAAGUAUCAGUUAACUGCUGGUACCUUGACGGUACCUAACGAGAAAGCCACGGCUAACUACGUGCCAGCAGCCGCGGUAAUACGUAGGUGGCAAGCGUUGUCCGGAUUUAUUGGGCGUAAAGCGCGCGCAGGCGGUUCUUUAAGUCUGAUGUGAAAGCCCCCGGCUCAACCGGGGAGGGUCAUUGGAAACUGGGGAACUUGAGUGCAGAAGAGAAGAGCGGAAUUCCACGUGUAGCGGUGAAAUGCGUAGAGAUGUGGAGGAACACCAGUGGCGAAGGCGGCUCUUUGGUCUGUAACUGACGCUGAGGCGCGAAAGCGUGGGGAGCAAACAGGAUUAGAUACCCUGGUAGUCCACGCCGUAAACGAUGAGUGCUAAGUGUUGGAGGGUUUCCGCCCUUCAGUGCUGCAGCUAACGCAUUAAGCA